RNAcentral lists this transfer RNA (85 nucleotides) under Acidimicrobiia bacterium. RNAcentral describes it as "tRNA-Tyr". It matches the Rfam family "tRNA". From Rfam's summary of the family: Transfer RNA (tRNA) molecules are approximately 80 nucleotides in length. Their secondary structure includes four short double-helical elements and three loops (D, anti-codon, and T loops). RNAcentral also lists the same sequence under 1 other name. The record is from RNAcentral. Lineage: Bacteria; Bacillati; Actinomycetota; Acidimicrobiia.
GGGUCAGUACCCAAGCGGCCAAAGGGGACCGGCUGUAAACCGGUUGCGUCAUGCUACGUUGGUUCGAAUCCAUCCUGGCCCACCA